UUGCUCAUCGGGGGUUCUCCCCCGUGUACUCUUCUAUGGGCAGCCCAGCAUCAGUCCGGGCGGUUGGAGAAAGACCUGUGUCAUGUAGCUGUUUUCGGGCAGUGUUAUAGGGCAGGUGGAAUGCAACCAGCCUGGACUGAGGUCCGCGCAUCUGCUAGGAUGCUGGCGUAAUGGCUGUAAGCGGCCCGUCUUGAAACACGGACCAAGGAGUCUAACAUCUAUGCGAGUGUUUGGGUGUCAAGCCCGAGCGCGUAAUGAAAGUGAACGGAGGUGGGAACCUUUUAGGUGCACCAUCGACCGAUCCUGAUGUCUUCGGAUGGAUUUGAGUAAGAGCAUAGCUGUUGGGACCCGAAAGAUGGUGAACUAUGCCUGAAUAGGGUGAAGCCAGAGGAAACUCUGGUGGAGGCUCGCAGCGGUUCUGACGUGCAAAUCGAUCGUCAAAUUUGGGCAUAGGGGCGAAGGACUAAUCGAACUAUCUAGUAGCUGGUUCCUGCCGAAGUUUCCCUCAGGAUAGCAGUAACGUUUUCAGUUUUAUGAGGUAAAGCGAAUGAUUAGAGGCCUGGGGGUUGAAACAACCUUCACCUAUUCUCAAACUUUAAAUAUGUAAGAAGUCCUUGUUUCUUAAUUGAACGUGGACAUUUGAAUGUAUCGUUACUAGUGGGCCAUUUUUGGUAAGCAGAACUGGCGAUGCGGGAUGAACCGAACGCGGGGUUAAGGUGCCAGAAUGCACGCUCAUCAGACACCACAAAAGGUGUUGGUUCAUCUAG
RNAcentral lists this ribosomal RNA (767 nucleotides) under uncultured Ascomycota. RNAcentral describes it as "LSU rRNA". It matches the Rfam family "Eukaryotic large subunit ribosomal RNA", at positions 452 to 1236 of the family's 3401-position model. Lineage: Eukaryota; Fungi; Ascomycota. The record is from RNAcentral.